UAAUUAUAUUUCAGUAUUCCACAGUAACAUCUGACAAAAAUAUCUAAAGACACUGAAGCAACAAACUUUGUGGAAAUUAAUAUUUGUGUCAUUCUCAAAACUUUUGGCCAUGACUAGAGACAAUAUAACAGGGCGUGUGUGUGUGUGUGUGUGUGUGUGUGUGUGUGUGUCCUACGUGAUGGAGUUCUGGUGCAGUGUCUCCAGGGCUGUGUGUGUGUGUGUGUCCUACGUGAUGGAGUUCUGGUGCAGUGUCUCCAGGGCUGUGUGUGUGUGUGUGUGUCCUACAUGAUGGAGUUCUGGUGCAGUGUCUCCAGGGCUGUGUGUGUGUGUGUGUCCUACAUGAUGGAGUUCUGGUGCAGUGUCUCCAGGGCUGUGUGUGUGUCCUACGUGAUGGAGUUCUGGUGCAGUGUCUCCAGGGCUGGCUGUGUGUGUGUGUCCUACGUGAUGGAGUUCUGGUGCAGUGUCUCCAGGGCUGUGUGUGUGUGUGUGUCCUACGUGAUGGAGUUCUGGUGCAGUGUCUCCAGGGCUGUGUGUGUGUGUCCUACGUGAUGGAGUUCUGGUGCAGUGUCUCCAGGGCUGUGUGUGUGUGUGUGUCCUACGUGAUGGAGUUCUGGUGCAGUGUCUCCAGGGCUGUGUGUGUGUGUGUGUGUGUCCUACGUGAUGGAGUUCUGGUGCAGUGUCUCCAGGGCUGUGUGUGUGUGUGUCCUACGUGAUGGAGUUCUGGUGCAGUGUCUCCAGGGCUGUGUGUGUGUGUGUGUCCUACGUGAUGGAGUUCUGGUGCAGUGUCUCCAGGGCUGGCUGUGUGUGUGUGUGUCCUACGUGAUGGAGUUCUGGUGCAGUGUCUCCAGGGCUGUGUGUGUGUGUGUCCUACGUGAUGGAGUUCUGGUGCAGUGUCUCCAGGGCUGUGUGUGUGUGUGUGUCCUACGUGAUGGAGUUCUGGUGCAGUGUCUCCAGGGCUGUGUGUGUGUGUCCUACGUGAUGGAGUUCUGGUGCAGUGUCUCCAGGGCUGUGUGUGUGUGUGUCCUACGUGAUGGAGUUCUGGUGCAGUGUCUCCAGGGCUGUGUGUGUGUGUGUGUGUGUCCUACGUGAUGGAGUUCUGGUGCAGUGUCUCCAGGGCUGUGUGUGUGUGUGUCCUACGUGAUGGAGUUCUGGUGCAGUGUCUCCAGGGCUGUGUGUGUGUGUGUGUCCUACGUGAUGGAGUUCUGGUGCAGUGUCUCCAGGGCUGUGUGUGUGUGUGUGUGUGUCCUACGUGAUGGAGUUCUGGUGCAGUGUCUCCAGGGCUGUGUGUGUGUGUGUCCUACGUGAUGGAGUUCUGGUGCAGUGUCUCCAGGGCUGUGUGUGUGUGUGUGUCCUACGUGAUGGAGUUCUGGAGCAGUGUCUCCAGGGCUGUGUGUGUGUGUGUUGUGUCCUACGUGAUGGAGUUCUGGUGCAGUGUCUCCAGGGCUGUGUGUGUGUGUGUUGUGUCCUACGUGAUGGAGUUCUGGUGCAGUGUCUCCAGGGCUGUGUGUGUGUGUCCUACGUGAUGGAGUUCUGGUGCAGUGUCUCCAGGGCUGUGUGUGUGU
Molecule: long non-coding RNA, 1562 nt
Organism: Oncorhynchus keta (chum salmon)
Lineage: Eukaryota; Metazoa; Chordata; Actinopteri; Salmoniformes; Salmonidae
Exons: 3
Source: RefSeq, a predicted model, not a curated record